UCCUAUAAAAUAAAGCUCUUCAAUGUGCCACGCUCAUCAACAAGUGGACAAGUGGAGCAGAAAACCUCUGAACUGCAUCUGAUAAAGGGCAGCUGGACCAGCGAAUUCAGCUGGCUGCAGAAAGGAAGAUGAAAGGCCUGUUCUGGGUGACUGUGGUCUUCUUCCUGUCUGUUGAAAACACCUCGGCUGCUGUAGACCAGAAAUGGCUUACAGAUAUUGUGCAAACCAUCAAGAAUAAGUAUCAGUUGGGUGACACUUCCAGUUGGGCUGUAAAUAUACCACAGAACCAAGAUCCAAGCCAUCUGAUGGAAGUUCUGCAGGAAGACCCACCAGAUGCAGUGAAAAUAGCAGUUUCAAAGAGUGACGUGUAUCAAGGCAAAAGAAUGACAGUAUCAACACAGUCAGUUGCAAUACCCCAUGUGUUAGAGAAAAUAAAAGUCAGCCAAACAGGAAACCAGGGCAACACCAUCAUAAUCUAUUCUGAAAAAUACCAAAAUAUAAAUGAGAAUGGCAUUGCUGCCAACAUUAACAAAAUCAUUCAUAGUUGGGGACGUUACGCCUUUGUAUUUUCCAAAGUAGUUGAUGUUGCUGAUGCUGGGAUACCUGCCAGGGCUGAGCUCUUUAAGCAGCAGGAACUUUCCAAAUUUGGGCUAGAAAAUAUAUUUCGUUGUUAUGAACCUGGUGGUUCUUUCCAGUGCACAAGCUGCGGCUCUGUUGAAAAUGUUGCUCCUUCUUGUCUUGUAAACACACCACCAUCAAAUGACGUCACAGAGUUGGAAAAACGCAGAUUUAAAGAAGCUAGAGGAGGUGGAAGAAAGAGGAGAGGAGGAAGACGUAGGAAAGGUGGCGAGG
Xiphophorus maculatus (southern platyfish) is the source of this 852-nucleotide long non-coding RNA. RefSeq lists it as uncharacterized. Lineage: Eukaryota; Metazoa; Chordata; Actinopteri; Cyprinodontiformes; Poeciliidae. The record is from RefSeq and is a predicted model, not a curated record. The transcript is spliced from 4 exons.